Molecule: long non-coding RNA, 533 nt
Filed under: Salmo salar (Atlantic salmon)
Lineage: Eukaryota; Metazoa; Chordata; Actinopteri; Salmoniformes; Salmonidae
Description: lncRNA (ENSSSAG00000118152.1)
Source: RNAcentral
GUCUGCUGCUUGGCUGAUUUAUGUUCCUCUGUGUGUGUUUCUGCAGCACGUCAGCUGUAUUGUGUUUGUGUUGCUGUCCAAACGGACACUUUGGCGUUGAAUGAAUCGCACGCAACCAGUCUGAGAGCCACAGGGUGUUUUGGUCCCACCGUGCUAGUCACUCUGACCAGGCUGGUGUCCAUGGUAAGUCACUCUGACCAGGCUGGUGUCCAUGGUAAGUCACUCUGACCAGGCUGGUGUCCAUGGUAAGUCACUCUGACCAGGCUGGUGUCCAUGGCAAGUCACUCUUUACAGCAUUAUCCUAAAGGAGGUGAAAGGUAAUUAUUGUGGUUUGACAACAUUACCCUAAAGCAGAUGAAGGUAAUGAUUGUGCCUUUACAGCAUUAUCCUAAAGGAAAUGAAAGGUGAUUAUUGUGCCUUUACAGCAUUAUCGUAAAGGAGAUGAAGGUAAUGAUUGUGCCUUUACAGCAUUAUCCUAAAGGAGAUGAAAUGUGAUUAUUGUGUCUUUACAGCAUUAUCCUAAAGGAGAUGAA